Phasianus colchicus (ring-necked pheasant) is the source of this 799-nucleotide long non-coding RNA. RefSeq lists it as uncharacterized. Lineage: Eukaryota; Metazoa; Chordata; Aves; Galliformes; Phasianidae. The record is from RefSeq and is a predicted model, not a curated record.
AUCAUAUGUCACAGUGCAGAGGAAGCCUCUGCACCACUUGUGAUAUCAUCAGUCCCUGCUCCAAUGGUCAAGGGUGCCUUAGGAUUUAGUUUGCUUUGUGAGACUUUUUUAGUUUGUUUGGUGCUUUUGAGAACAGGUGGGAAUGUGAGGUGGCAGCUGGAUAAAGAUGUGUAGACCUAUUGCCAUGCAGCUUGUUGGAGGAAGCUGCAGCUAGGAGCCUCUGCAGUGCCAUGGAGCCCAGCCCUGAGCAACAUAACCAGGAAGGUACCAAGUGUCUUCCAUCAGACCCUCCAGUGGCUCAAGGGGUGCUGUAGGGGAUGUCUGUGAUUUUCAACCUGAAGUCCCUGCUUGCAGUUAUAAGGUCCUGAAUCUUGAUCCGUGGCUUCUCCUCACUAUGGAUUGAUCUUCAAAGAUCAAUUUUACUGUGGAGGAUGGAAACAUUCUGUAAUGGGAACGGGGCUCUGAAUAGCAGUGUCUUACAAUGAAACCCCAUAAUUCUCCCUGAGUUCAGAGGCCGACAAACUAUAACUGGCCACAGAGAAAUGCUGUUAGUAGCCAUGUGGGGCAUGAAUCAUAGAAUCACCAAUGUUGGAAAAGAGCUACAAGAUCAUCUGCCUAUCACCAAUAAUUCUCACUAAACCAUGUCCCUCAACAGAAUGUCUAAACGUUCCUUGACCAUUCCCAAUGUCAGUGACUCCAUCACAAACCUCCUUGGUCACUCAUCUGUUGGGCAAGGAAGAAGAAUGAGUUGAAUCACUGAAACUGACAGAUCCAAAUCCAAAGAUUACAUAUGUUAAGG